Molecule: ribosomal RNA, 253 nt
Filed under: uncultured bacterium
Lineage: Bacteria
Description: partial 16S ribosomal RNA
Rfam family: Bacterial small subunit ribosomal RNA
Source: RNAcentral
UACGGAGGGUGCAAGCGUUGUCCGGAUUUAUUGGGUUUAAAGGGCGCGUAGGCGGCUUGAUAAGCGUGCGGUGAAAGCCCGGGGCUCAACCCCGGGUCGGCCGUGCGAACUGUCGAGCUGGAGCACUGUAGAGGCAGGUGGAAUUCCGGGUGUAGCGGUGGAAUGCGUAGAGAUCCGGAAGAACACCGGUGGCGAAGGCGGCCUGCUGGGCAGUGGCUGACGCUGAGGCGCGACAGCGUGGGGAGCAAACAGG